This 674-nucleotide ribosomal RNA is filed under the name Dichomitus squalens. RNAcentral's name for it is "eukaryotic LSU rRNA". It matches the Rfam family "Eukaryotic large subunit ribosomal RNA", at positions 72 to 731 of the family's 3401-position model. The record is from RNAcentral. Lineage: Eukaryota; Fungi; Basidiomycota; Agaricomycetes; Polyporales; Polyporaceae.
GGAUUCCCCUAGUAACUGCGAGUGAAGCGGGAAAAGCUCAAAUUUAAAAUCUGGCGGUCUUUGGCCGUCCGAGUUGUAGUCUGGAGAAGUGCUUUCCGCGCUGGACCGUGUAUAAGUCUCUUGGAACAGAGCGUCAUAGAGGGUGAGAAUCCCGUCUUUGACACGGACUACCAGUGCUUUGUGAUGCGCUCUCAAAGAGUCGAGUUGUUUGGGAAUGCAGCUCAAAAUGGGUGGUGAAUUCCAUCUAAAGCUAAAUAUUGGCGAGAGACCGAUAGCGAACAAGUACCGUGAGGGAAAGAUGAAAAGCACUUUGGAAAGAGAGUUAAACAGUACGUGAAAUUGCUGAAAGGGAAACGCUUGAAGUCAGUCGCGUCGUCCGGAACUCAGCCUUGCUUUCGCUUGGUGCACUUUCCGGUUGACGGGCCAGCAUCGAUUUUGACCGUCGGAAAAGGGCUGGAGUAAUGUGGCACCUUCGGGUGUGUUAUAGACUCUGGUCGCAUACGGCGGUUGGGAUCGAGGAACGCAGCGCGCCGCAAGGCAGGGGUUCGCCCACUUUCGCGCUUAGGAUGCUGGCAUAAUGGCUUUAAACGACCCGUCUUGAAACACGGACCAAGGAGUCUAACAUACCUGCGAGUGUUUGGGUGGAAAACCCGAGCGCGUAAUGAAAGUGAAAG